RNAcentral lists this signal recognition particle RNA (337 nucleotides) under Pongo abelii (Sumatran orangutan). Its description in RNAcentral is "Metazoan signal recognition particle RNA (ENSPPYG00000032117.1)". It matches the Rfam family "Metazoan signal recognition particle RNA". Rfam says of the family: The signal recognition particle (SRP) is a universally conserved ribonucleoprotein. Lineage: Eukaryota; Metazoa; Chordata; Mammalia; Primates; Hominidae. The record is from Rfam by way of RNAcentral.
GCCAGGUGUGGUGGCGCAUGCCUGUAAUCCCAGCUACUCAGGAGGCCGAGGCAGGAGAAUCGCUUGAACCGGGGAGGUGGAAGUUGCAGUGAGCCGAGAUCACGCCACUUCACUCCAGUCUGGGUGACAGAGUGAAACUGUCUCAAAAAAAGUAAAUAAAUAAAAUAAAGGAAAAAGAAAGUUCAAUUUUUAGAAAAUCUUAUAAAUAUUUAUGGCUUUUUUUUUUUUUUUUUUUGAGAUAGAGUUUCCCUCUUGUCACCCAGGCUGGUGUGCAGUGGCGUGAUCUCGGCUCACUGCAAUCUCCACCUCCUGGGUUCAAGUGAUUCUCCUGCCUCAG